Molecule: ribosomal RNA, 492 nt
Filed under: uncultured bacterium
Lineage: Bacteria
Description: partial 16S ribosomal RNA
Rfam family: Bacterial small subunit ribosomal RNA
Source: RNAcentral
AGUGAACGCUGGCGGUAGGCCUAACACAUGCAAGUCGAACGGAAGCACAGUAAGAGCUUGCUCUUACGGGUGGCGAGUGGCGGGCGGGUGAGGCAUACAUCGGAAUCUACUUUUUCGUGGGGGAUAACGUAGGGACACAUACGCUAAUACCGCAUACGACCAACGGGUGAAAGCAGGGGAUCUUCGGGCCUUGCGCGAUUGUAUGAGCCGAUGUCGGAUUAGCUAGUUGGCGGGGUAAAGGCCUACCAAGGCGACGAUCCGUAGCUGGUCUGAGAGGAUGAUCAGCCACACUGGAACUGAGACACGGUCCAGACUCCUACGGGAGGCAGCAGUGGGGAAUAUUGGACAAUGGGCGCAAGCCUGAUCCAGCCAUGCCGCGUGGGUGAAGAAGGCCUUCGGAUUGUAAAGCCCUUUUGUUGGGAAAGAAAAGCAGCAGGUUAAUACCCCGCUGUUCUGACGGUACCCAAAGAAUAAGCACCGGCUAACUUCGUG